CAGCCGCCGCGGUAAUUCGUAGGUGGCAAGCGUUGUCCGGAAUUAUUGGGCGUAAAGGGCUCGCAGGCGGUUUCUUAAGUCUGAUGUGAAAGCCCCCGGCUCAACCGGGGAGGGUCAUUGGAAACUGGGAAACUUGAGUGCAGAAGAGGAGAGUGGAAUUCCACGUGUAGCGGUGAAAUGCGUAGAGAUGUGGAGGAACACCAGUGGCGAAGGCGACUCUCUGGUCUGUAACUGACGCUGAGGAGCGAAAGCGUGGGGAGCGAACAGGAUUAGAUACCUCCGUAGUCCCUGUCUCUUAUAC
RNAcentral lists this ribosomal RNA (301 nucleotides) under uncultured bacterium. RNAcentral describes it as "partial 16S ribosomal RNA". It matches the Rfam family "Bacterial small subunit ribosomal RNA", at positions 509 to 807 of the family's 1533-position model. The record is from RNAcentral.